AUACUUACCUGACAGAGGAGAUACCGUGAUCAAGAAGGUGGCUCACCUUGGGCGAGGCCUGACCAUUGCACUCCGGUUGGGUUGACUUUAACUGGCGGGCUAGUGGACUGUGCAGUAUGGACAGCAGCAGCAGCCUGUUU
Molecule: small nuclear RNA, 140 nt
Filed under: Dicentrarchus labrax (European seabass)
Lineage: Eukaryota; Metazoa; Chordata; Actinopteri; Moronidae
Description: U1 spliceosomal RNA (ENSDLAG00005030719.1)
Source: RNAcentral